ACCCAGUCACAAACCAAGAGUAUUCCUCCAAACAAGUCCCCCUAUUCUCCAUCCAAUUAGAUACCCCACCAGUAGACAUCUCGUGAUGGGGCUAAAAACAGACACACCAUGAUGGGGCUACAGACAGACAUCCUGCAAGGCAACCAAGAGACAGCAGCACGUCCAGAGAGGCUGACAAAUAGGAGAAGGAAGGGGCUGUUGGCAGCACCUAGAAUACUCACCAAAUCAGAUACCCCAUAAUGGGGCUACAGCUACAGACACUACGUGAUGGGCUACAGACAGACACCCAGUGAUAGGGCUAGAGUCUCAGACAUCCAGUGGUGGAGCUGGAGACAGACACCCCACCAUGGGGCUACAGACAAACAUUCCAGCAUGGAGCUACAGUUAUGGGAUAUCUCCCAGGACUAUUUCUGUAUUGCAAUUAAAUCCAUGCCCAUUGGAUCAGCAGCACCCCACCAGUAGAGCCUAGAGUCCAAGAGAACUAGGUGGCCACUUGGGCUGGCCUCUGGAUCUGUUGCUGGAGGGAGUCUACCAAACCACGGGCAGGCAGCCACAAGGGCAAGCCCCAGCAAGCCCCAAAUUUGUAACUGCCCAUGGGUUCACCUUGUCUGCUGCCUAGACAAAGUUAAUUUAUCCAGACAGGGGAACUGCAGUAAAGAAAGUAACUCAUGCAGAGCCAGCUUUGCG
Molecule: long non-coding RNA, 687 nt
Filed under: Homo sapiens (human)
Lineage: Eukaryota; Metazoa; Chordata; Mammalia; Primates; Hominidae
Description: non-protein coding lnc-TERB2-2:1
Source: RNAcentral